RNAcentral lists this ribosomal RNA (422 nucleotides) under uncultured bacterium. Its description in RNAcentral is "bacterial SSU rRNA". It matches the Rfam family "Bacterial small subunit ribosomal RNA", at positions 355 to 774 of the family's 1533-position model. The record is from RNAcentral.
UGAGGAAUAUUGGACAAUGGGCGCAAGCCUGAUCCAGCCAUGCCGCGUGCAGGAAGAAGCAUCUAUGGUGUGUAAACUGCUUUUGUACGGGAAGAAACACUCCUACGUGUAGGAGCUUGACGGUACCGUAAGAAUAAGGAUCGGCUAACUCCGUGCCAGCAGCCGCGGUAAUACGGAGGAUCCAAGCGUUAUCCGGAAUCAUUGGGUUUAAAGGGUCCGUAGGCGGUUUAGUAAGUCAGUGGUGAAAGCCCAUCGCUCAACGAUGGAACGGCCAUUGAUACUGCUAGACUUGAAUUAUUAGGAGGUAACUAGAAUAUGUAGUGUAGCGGUGAAAUGCUUAGAUAUUACAUGGAAUACCGAUUGCGAAGGCAGGAUACUACCAAUGGAUUGACGCUGAUGGACGAAAGCGUGGGUAGCGAACA